RNAcentral lists this ribosomal RNA (497 nucleotides) under uncultured bacterium. RNAcentral's name for it is "partial 16S ribosomal RNA". It matches the Rfam family "Bacterial small subunit ribosomal RNA", at positions 28 to 507 of the family's 1533-position model. The record is from RNAcentral.
GACGAACGCUGGCGGCGUGCCUAAUACAUGCAAGUAGAACGCUGAAGCGAGGAGCUUGCUCUUCUUGGGUGAGUCGCAAACGGGUGAGUAACGCGUAGGUAACCUGCCUGGUAUCGGGGUAUAACUAGGGGAAACGAUAUCUAAUACCGCAGAAAAUCGAGUAGCGCAUGAUGAGCCAGUGAAAGGUGCAAAUGGGUGACGACCACGUGGCCCAUCGGUGUAUUAGCUAGGUGGUGGGGUACCGGCUCACCAAGGGGAGGAUACAUAGCCGACGUGAGAGGGUGAGCGGCCAGACUGGGGAGGAGACACGGCCCAGAUUGCUACGGGAGGCAGCAGUAGGGAAUACUCGGCAAUGGACGGAAGUCUGACCGAGCAACGCCGCGUGAGUGAAGAAGGUUUUCGGCUCGUAAAGCUCUGUUGUUAGAGAAGAACGAGUGUGAGAGUGGAAAGUUCACACUGUGACGGUAUCUUACCAGAGAGGGACGGCUAACUACGUG